UACGUAGGGGGCAAGCGUUGUCCGGAAUCAUUGGGCGUAAAGAGCGUGUAGGCGGCUCGGUAAGUCCGCUCUGAAAGCCCGGGGCUCAACCCCGGGAGGCGGGCGGAUACUGUCGGGCUAGAGUCCGGAAGAGGCGAGUGGAAUUCCUGGUGUAGCGGUGAAAUGCGCAGAUAUCAGGAGGAACAUCAGUGGCGAAAGCGACCUCCUGGACCAAUACUGACGCUCAUGUGCGAAAGCGUGGGGAGCAAACAGG
This 253-nucleotide ribosomal RNA is filed under the name uncultured bacterium. RNAcentral's name for it is "partial 16S ribosomal RNA". It matches the Rfam family "Bacterial small subunit ribosomal RNA", at positions 524 to 776 of the family's 1533-position model. The record is from RNAcentral.